AACGAACGCUGGCGGCAUGCCUAACACAUGCAAGUCGAACGAGACCUUCGGGUCUAGUGGCGCACGGGUGCGUAACGCGUGGGAACCUGCCCUUAGGUUCGGAAUAACUCCCCGAAAGGGGUGCUAAUACCGGAUUAUGUCUUCGGACCAAAGAUUUAUCGCCUUUGGAUGGGCCCGCGUUGGAUCAGCUAGUUGGUAGGGUAAAAGCCUACUAAGGCGACGAUCCAUAGCUGGUCUGAGAGGAUGAUCAGCCACACUGGGACUGAGACACGGCCCAGACUCCUACGGGAGGCAGCAGUGGGGAAUAUUGGACAAUGGGCGAAAGCCUGAUCCAGCAAUGCCGCGUGAGUGAUGAAGGCCUUAGGGUUGUAAAGCUCUUUUACCCGGGAUGAUAAUGACAGUACCGGGAGAAUAAGCUCCGGCUAACUCCGUG
RNAcentral lists this ribosomal RNA (433 nucleotides) under uncultured bacterium. Its description in RNAcentral is "partial 16S ribosomal RNA". It matches the Rfam family "Bacterial small subunit ribosomal RNA", at positions 29 to 507 of the family's 1533-position model. The record is from RNAcentral.